Molecule: ribosomal RNA, 396 nt
Filed under: uncultured bacterium
Lineage: Bacteria
Description: partial 16S ribosomal RNA
Rfam family: Bacterial small subunit ribosomal RNA
Source: RNAcentral
AUACGUAGGGAGCGAGCGUUGUCCGGAAUUACUGGGUGUAAAGGGAGCGUAGGCGGGAGUGCAAGUCAGAUGUGAAAUACAUGGGCUCAACCCAUGGGCUGCAUUUGAAACUGCAUUUCUUGAGUGAAGUAGAGGUAAGCGGCAUUCCUGGUGUAGCGGUGAAAUGCGUAGAUAUCAGGAGGAACACCGGUGGCGAAGGCGGCUUACUGGGCUUUUACUGACGCUGAGGCUCGAAAGCGUGGGGAGCAAACAGGAUUAGAUACCCUGGUAGUCCACGCUGUAAACGAUGAUUACUAGGUGUGGGGGGACUGACCCCUUCCGUGCCGCAGUUAACACAAUAAGUAAUCCACCUGGGGAGUACGGCCGCAAGGUUGAAACUCAAAUGAAUUGACGGGG